This 305-nucleotide ribosomal RNA is filed under the name uncultured bacterium. Its description in RNAcentral is "bacterial SSU rRNA". It matches the Rfam family "Bacterial small subunit ribosomal RNA", at positions 333 to 657 of the family's 1533-position model. The record is from RNAcentral.
GUACCUACGGGACGCAGCAGUAGGGAAUAUUGCUCAAUGGGGGAAACCCUGAAGCAGCAACGCCGCGUGGAGGAUGAAGGUUUUCGGAUUGUAAACUCCUUUUGUUAGAGAAGAUAAUGACGGUAUCUAACGAAUAAGCACCGGCUAACUCCGUGCCAGCAGCCGCGGUAAUACGGCGGGUGCAAGCGUUACUCGGAAUCAGUGGGCGUAAAGAGCGCGUAGGCGGGAUAGCACGUCAGAUGUGAAAUCCUAUGGCUUAGCCAUAGAACGGCAUUUGAAACUGUUAUUCUACAGUAUGGGAGAGG